UGCGUAGGCGGGCUAAUAAGUCAGUGGUGAAAUCUUUCGGCUCAACCGAGAAACUGCCAUUGAUACUGUUAGUCUUGAGUUCGGUUGAGGUAGGCGGAAUGUGUAACGUAGCGGUGAAAUGCUUAGAUAUUACACAGAACACCAAUUGCGUAGGCAGCUUACUAGACCGACACUGACGCUGAGGCACGAAAGCGUGGGGAGCGAACAGGAUUAGAUACCCUGGUAGUCC
This 229-nucleotide ribosomal RNA is filed under the name uncultured bacterium. RNAcentral's name for it is "partial 16S ribosomal RNA". It matches the Rfam family "Bacterial small subunit ribosomal RNA", at positions 568 to 796 of the family's 1533-position model. The record is from RNAcentral.